Molecule: unclassified non-coding RNA, 213 nt
Filed under: plant metagenome
Description: partial contains small subunit ribosomal RNA, internal transcribed spacer 1, and 5.8S ribosomal RNA
Source: RNAcentral
UUUCCGUAGGUGAACCUGCGGAAGGAUCAUUACAGAGUUCAUGCCCGAAAGGGUAGACCUCCCACCCUUGUGUAUUAUUACUUUGUUGCUUUGGCGAGCCCAAGCUCGCCAGAGAAUACCAAAACUCUUUUUAUUAAUGUCGUCUGAGUACUAUAUAAUAGUUAAAACUUUCAACAACGGAUCUCUUGGUUCUGGCAUCAUGAAGAACGCAGC